Molecule: ribosomal RNA, 253 nt
Filed under: uncultured bacterium
Lineage: Bacteria
Description: partial 16S ribosomal RNA
Rfam family: Bacterial small subunit ribosomal RNA
Source: RNAcentral
UACGGGGGGGGCAAGCGUUAUUCGGAAUUACUGGGCGUAAAGGGCUCGUAGGCGGCCAACUAAGUCGGAUGUUAAAUCCCCAGGCUUAACCUGGGAACUGCAUCCGAUACUGGAUGGCUUGAAUCCGGGAGAGGGAUGCAGAAUUCCAGGUGUAGCGGUGAAAUGCGUAGAUAUCUGGAGGAAUACCGGUGGCGAAGGCGGCAUCCUGGACCGGCAUUGACGCUGAUGAGCGAAAGCUAGGGGAGCAAACGGG